RNAcentral lists this ribosomal RNA (675 nucleotides) under Elsinoe rosarum. RNAcentral describes it as "eukaryotic LSU rRNA". It matches the Rfam family "Eukaryotic large subunit ribosomal RNA", at positions 114 to 809 of the family's 3401-position model. The record is from RNAcentral. Lineage: Eukaryota; Fungi; Ascomycota; Dothideomycetes; Myriangiales; Elsinoaceae.
UUUGAAAUCUGGCGUCUUCGGCGUCCGAGUUGUAAUUUGUAGAGGAUGCUAUUGAGUUGUCACCGGUCUAAGUUCCUUGGAACAGGACGUCAUAGAGGGUGAGAAUCCCGUAUGUGACCGGCCAGACGCUCUCUGUAUAGCUCCUUCGACGAGUCGGGUUGUUUGGGAAUGCAGCCCUAAAUGGGAGGUAAAUUUCUUCUAAAGCUAAAUACCGGCCAGAGACCGAUAGCGCACAAGUAGAGUGAUCGAAAGAUGAAAAGCACUUUGGAAAGAGAGUUAAAAAGCACGUGAAAUUGUUGAAAGGGAAGCGCUUGCAAUCAGUCUCGACGGCGGCUGUUCGGCCUCUCUUCUGAGUGGUUUAUUCAGUCGCCGCCGGGCCAGCAUCAGUUCUGGCGGUCGGAUAAAGACGCGGGGAAUGUAGCUCCUCUCGGGGAGUGUUAUAGCCUCGCGUGCAAUACGGCCUGCCGGGACUGAGGUCCGCGCUUCGGCUAGGAUGCUGGCGAAAUGGUUGUAAGCGGCCCGUCUUGAAACACGGACCAAGGAGUCUAACAUCUAUGCGAGUGUUUGGGUGUCAAACCCGUACGCGUAAUGAAAGUGAACGGAGGUGGGAACCGCAAGGUGCACCAUCGACCGAUCCUGAUGUCUUCGGAUGGAUUUGAGUAAGAGCAUAGCUGU